Long non-coding RNA from Oncorhynchus keta (chum salmon), 173 nucleotides. RefSeq lists it as uncharacterized. The record is from RefSeq and is a predicted model, not a curated record. The transcript is spliced from 3 exons. NCBI's taxonomy places the organism in Eukaryota, Metazoa, Chordata, Actinopteri, Salmoniformes, Salmonidae.
AGACAGGUGAGGAACACUGCAGUGAUGUUUUACAGUAAGACAGGUGAGGAACACUGCAGUGAUGUUUUACAGUAAGACAGGUGAGGAACACUGCAGUGAUGUUUUACAGUAAGACAGGUGAGGAACACUGCAGUGAUGUUUUACAGUAAGACAGGUGAGGAACACUGCAGUUG